CCUACGGGAGGCAGCAGUAGGGAAUAUUGCUCAAUGGGGGAAACCCUGAAGCAGCAACGCCGCGUGGAGGAUGAAGGUUUUCGGAUUGUAAACUCCUUUUGUUAGAGAAGAGAAUGACGGUAGCUAACGAAUAAGCACCGGCUAACUCCGUGCCAGCAGCCGCGGUAAUACGGAGGGUGCAAGCGUUACUCGGAAGCACUGGGCGUAAAGAGCGCGUAGGCUGGAUAGCAAGUCAGAUGUGAAAUCCUAGGGCUUAACCAUAGAACUGCAUUUGAAACUGUUAUUCUAGAGUAUGGGAGAGUUAGGUGGAAUUCUUGGUGUAGGGGUCCAAUCCGUAGAGAUCAAG
This 346-nucleotide ribosomal RNA is filed under the name uncultured bacterium. RNAcentral describes it as "partial 16S ribosomal RNA". It matches the Rfam family "Bacterial small subunit ribosomal RNA", at positions 338 to 701 of the family's 1533-position model. The record is from RNAcentral.